AUUGAACGCUGGCGGCAUGCUUUACACAUGCAAGUCGAACGGCAGCGCGGGGCAACCUGGCGGCGAGUGGCGAACGGGUGCGUAAUAUAUCGGAACGUACCCAGAAGUGGGGGAUAACGUAGCGAAAGUUACGCUAAUACCGCAUACGAUCUACGGAUGAAAGUAGGGGACCGCAAGGCCUUAUGCUUUUGGAGCGGCCGAUAUCUGAUUAGCUAGUUGGUGAGGUAAAGGCUCACCAAGGCGACGAUCAGUAGCUGGUCUGAGAGGACGACCAGCCACACUGGAACUGAGACACGGUCCAGACUCCUACGGGAGGCAGCAGUGGGGAAUUUUGGACAAUGGGCGCAAGCCUGAUCCAGCAAUGCCGCGUGAGUGAAGAAGGCCUUCGGGUUGUAAAGCUCUUUUGUCAGGGAAGAAACGGUAGAGGCUAAUAUACUUUGCUAAUGACGGUACCUGAAGAAUAAGCACCGGCUAACUACGUG
This 482-nucleotide ribosomal RNA is filed under the name uncultured bacterium. RNAcentral describes it as "partial 16S ribosomal RNA". It matches the Rfam family "Bacterial small subunit ribosomal RNA", at positions 30 to 507 of the family's 1533-position model. The record is from RNAcentral.